GGUUGCGAUCAUACCAGCACUAAUGACACCGGAUCCCAUACAGAACUCCGCAGGUAAUCGUUCUUGGGCGAGAGUAGUACUAGGAUGGGUGACCUCCUGGGAAGUACCUCGUGUUGCA
Ribosomal RNA from Corchorus capsularis, 118 nucleotides. The record is from Rfam. Lineage: Eukaryota; Viridiplantae; Streptophyta; Magnoliopsida; Malvales; Malvaceae.